GACGAACGCUGGCGGCGUGCUUAACACAUGCAAGUCGAACGGAAAGGCCCUGCUUUUGUGGGGUGCUCGAGUGGCGAACGGGUGAGUAACACGUGAGUAACCUGCCCUUGACUUUGGGAUAAUUUCAGGAAGCUGGGGCUAAUACCGGAUAGGAGCUCCUGCUGCAUGGUGGGGGUUGGAAAGUUUCGGCGGUUGGGGAUGGACUCGCGGCUUAUCAGCUUGUUGGUGGGGUAGUGGCUUACCAAGGCUUUGACGGGUAGCCGGCCUGAGAGGGUGACCGGCCACAUUGGGACUGAGAUACGGCCCAGACUCCUACGGGAGGCAGCAGUGGGGAAUAUUGCACAAUGGGCGGAAGCCUGAUGCAGCAACGCCGCGUGCGGGAUGACGGCCUUCGGGUUGUAAACCGCUUUCGCCUGUGACGAAGCGUGAGUGACGGUAAUGGGUAAAGAAGCACCGGCUAACUACGUG
RNAcentral lists this ribosomal RNA (468 nucleotides) under uncultured bacterium. RNAcentral's name for it is "partial 16S ribosomal RNA". It matches the Rfam family "Bacterial small subunit ribosomal RNA", at positions 28 to 507 of the family's 1533-position model. The record is from RNAcentral.